Molecule: long non-coding RNA, 1812 nt
Organism: Papaver somniferum (opium poppy)
Lineage: Eukaryota; Viridiplantae; Streptophyta; Magnoliopsida; Ranunculales; Papaveraceae
Exons: 10
Source: RefSeq, a predicted model, not a curated record
CUCCAGCGACACACGCCCAUGUAUCUCUUCCGUUGCGGCAGACAUUCAACUUCAAGCUUUUUCUGAAACCUCACAUUAAUUAUUCCUUCCCAUCAUGAAUGCAGGAGGCGUUUUUUUGGCCUGAUUUUCGCUCUCAUUUCGAUAUUAUCUAGAGUUAGGGGUCGCGGAGAAGGUUUUGUUUAUCGCGCAACAGGAUUUACUCUAUCUUGGAUUUCAAUUUAGCCACACAAAGAAAUCGCGAGUUCUGUAAGAUAUUUUUUUUCUUUGAUUAUUCACAGUUUCCAUGCAUUUCUGCAACUAAAUCUUAUUCUGCGAGGAAUCAUGAUGGGAACAGUUGUAUUGAGUAGUAGUCAGCGUUCGUGGGAAAUGCAUACAUCCAAUAUGUAUGUAUGACUACGUUUCCGGCGGCGACAUAAGUAAAUGGUCAUCAGUUUUGCUAAAAGGAUAAUAAGGAAGGUAUUAGAGAUAGCCUCACAGUGCAAUGCAAAUUGGUCACAAAGCCCACUCAGCAGACUGAAGUGCCUACAGAAAAAUCCUCGAAAAUAUGAUUAUCCCAAUAAUUCUUCUAUCCACUUAGACAAGCAGCUAAUGUCUUCAUGUCUAAUGCCGAACCAGCAAAAUCAUUGAGAAUGUUCGUUUUUAUCUUGCUUGCCAUGGGUGUAGCAAGAAAGUUGGCGGGGAUGGUUACCUUUAGUACACUAAAUUUGAAAAAAAUAAGUCGGCAUUCUCAUAGUCAGCUCUGGACAGUGAGGCCGAGAAGAUGGUUCGCUACACUGCUUCCGAACUCUUGAGAACCAGCGAAAGCUAUCGUGCUAUCUGGGUUCUCACUAAAUCUGCACCAAACCGUGGGGUUUCAAAUUACUAUGAAAUCCUUCGACUGGAAGCAGAAAGUUGCCACAAGCUACACAGUCAGUUGCAUCGACUACCACAAUCUCCUUACAUCGCCUGAAUCAAAGCAUUCUUUUCUUAAGGCAGACAUAUGGAUCAAUGCCACCGACCAGGGAAAAACACUCUAAAUGAAGGAUUCUUUUGCUGGGAAAUUUACAAGCGAUUACGAAAAAAUUGAUUGUGUGAUAUAAAGGCAUAAUUUGUAACCUCAACUCUUCUUGCACCUAUCUGAGGUCCGAUCUGUGUAUACCGGUAUAGCCUAAAAGGAUAUUAACAAAAGCUAGCUUUUGUCAGAUUCAAUGGCUGGAACAUGGCUAUGGAUGUUAAAGACCGCUGUCUGCUUCAGAAAUUCGGUAACCAAUUAUUUUUUGAACAUUAACAAAUACAAUUGAAGAUAAUUGCACUCAAGAUAUUAUGUUCCAGAAUGAUUACCUGAACUCUGAUGUCCACCUGUCAAGCAUUAAUUAACAUUAGCAAGAGAAGACAAAUUGAAGUAAAACCUGGAAGACUUUGAGAAAAGGUGUCGUGCCGAUCAAAUGAAACCAAAGUUGACCCUCAAAUACGAAACUGGAACGGAUAAAUGGUUAGAUGGUCAUGGUGCAUAUUUAUAUGGUUGCGGGAAAAAAGAUCUAUUGUAAAGAGGAUAAAAGGGCUCUACAGAGCCGUAAAGAAACUUUAUUUAGAAUACCUCAUUAUACUUGAGGUUUGAAGAAAUACAAACUCGUGGUGAUGAAGAAAUAUGGUGGCGACGAAGACAAAAUAUUGGAGCUCAAUCCUUACGACAGGGUCAGUGGCUAAGAAGCGUCCAAAAGGGCACAAAACGGAUGACAUAAUAUCGAUUAGUUAUGUAAAACCAUUCCUAAUAUUUCGUUAAAAAGGUAGGAGUUUCAUGUGUGAAUAUGCCAAUCAAAAGGAAACAUAAUC